RNAcentral lists this ribosomal RNA (538 nucleotides) under Rhodotorula diobovata. RNAcentral's name for it is "eukaryotic LSU rRNA". It matches the Rfam family "Eukaryotic large subunit ribosomal RNA", at positions 104 to 655 of the family's 3401-position model. Lineage: Eukaryota; Fungi; Basidiomycota; Microbotryomycetes; Sporidiobolales; Sporidiobolaceae. RNAcentral also lists the same sequence under 1 other name. The record is from RNAcentral.
GAGCUCAAAUUUAUAAUCUGGCACCUUCGGUGUCCGAGUUGUAAUCUCUAGAAGUGUUUUCCGCGUUGGACCGCACACAAGUCUGUUGGAAUACAGCGGCAUAGUGGUGAAACCCCCGUAUAUGGUGCGGACGCCCAGCGCUUUGUGAUACACUUUCAAUGAGUCGAGUUGUUUGGGAAUGCAGCUCAAAUUGGGUGGUAAAUUCCAUCUAAAGCUAAAUAUUGGCGAGAGACCGAUAGCGAACAAGUACCGUGAGGGAAAGAUGAAAAGCACUUUGGAAAGAGAGUUAACAGUACGUGAAAUUGUUGGAAGGGAAACGCUUGAAGUCAGACUUGCUUGCCGGAGCUUGCUUCGGUUUGCAGGCCAGCAUCAGUUUUCCGGGGUGGAUAAUGACGGUUUGAAGGUAGCAGUCUCGGCUGUGUUAUAGCUUUCCGUUGGAUACGCCCUGGGGGACUGAGGAACGCAGCGUGCUUUUUGCGAAAGACUCGUCUUUUUCACGCUUAGGAUGCUGGUGGAAUGGCUUUAAACGACCCGUCUU